AUACGAAGGGUGCAAGCGUUACUCGGAAUUACUGGGCGUAAAGCGUGCGUAGGCGGUUCGUUAAGUCCGAUGUGAAAGCCCUGGGCUCAACCUGGGAACUGCAUUGGAAACUGGCGGGCUGGAGUGCGGUAGAGGAUGGCGGAAUUCCCGGUGUAGCAGUGAAAUGCGUAGAUAUCGGGAGGAACACCCGUGGCGAAGGCGGCCACCUGGACCAGCACUGACGCUGAGGCACGAAAGCGUGGGGAGCAAACAGGAUUAGAUACCCUGGUAGUCCACGCCCUAAACGAUGAGAACUGGAUGUUGGGUGCAACUUGGCACUCAGUAUCGAAGCUAACGCGUUAAGUUCGCCGCCUGGGAAGUACGGUCGCAAGACUGAA
Molecule: ribosomal RNA, 377 nt
Filed under: uncultured bacterium
Lineage: Bacteria
Description: bacterial SSU rRNA
Rfam family: Bacterial small subunit ribosomal RNA
Source: RNAcentral